AACGAACGCUGGCGGCAUGCCUAACACAUGCAAGUCGAACGAGACCUUCGGGUCUAGUGGCGCACGGGUGCGUAACGCGUGGGAACCUGCCCUUAGGUUCGGAAUCACUCCCCGAAAGGGGUGCUAAUACCGGAUAAUGUCUUCGGACCAAAGAUUUAUCGCCUUUGGAUGGGCCCGCGUUGGAUUAGCUAGUUGGUAGGGUAAAAGCCUACCAAGGCGACGAUCCAUAGCUGGUCUGAGAGGAUGAUCAGCCACACUGGGACUGAGACACGGCCCAGACUCCUACGGGAGGCAGCAGUGGGGAAUAUUGGACAAUGGGCGAAAGCCUGAUCCAGCAAUGCCGCGUGAGUGAUGAAGGCCGUAGGGUUGUAAAGCUCUUUUACCCGGGAUGAUAAUGACAGUACCGGGAGAAUAAGCUCCGGCUAACUCCGUG
Molecule: ribosomal RNA, 433 nt
Filed under: uncultured bacterium
Lineage: Bacteria
Description: partial 16S ribosomal RNA
Rfam family: Bacterial small subunit ribosomal RNA
Source: RNAcentral